This 512-nucleotide ribosomal RNA is filed under the name Pseudomonas putida. Its description in RNAcentral is "bacterial SSU rRNA". It matches the Rfam family "Bacterial small subunit ribosomal RNA", at positions 34 to 536 of the family's 1533-position model. The record is from RNAcentral. Lineage: Bacteria; Pseudomonadati; Pseudomonadota; Gammaproteobacteria; Pseudomonadales; Pseudomonadaceae.
UUGCGCUGGCGGCGGCCUAAACAUGCAAGUCGAGCGGAUGACGGGAGCUUGCUCCUUGAUUCAGCGGCGGACGGGUGAGUAAUGCCUAGGAAUCUGCCUGGUAGUGGGGGACAACGUUUCGAAAGGAACGCUAAUACCGCAUACGUCCUACGGGAGAAAGCAGGGGACCUUCGGGCCUUGCGCUAUCAGAUGAGCCUAGGUCGGAUUAGCUUGUUGGUGAGGUAAUGGCUCACCAAGGCGACGAUCCGUAACUGGUCUGAGAGGAUGAUCAGUCACACUGGAACUGAGACACGGUCCAGACUCCUACGGGAGGCAGCAGUGGGGAAUAUUGGACAAUGGGCGAAAGCCUGAUCCAGCCAUGCCGCGUGUGUGAAGAAGGUCUUCGGAUUGUAAAGCACUUUAAGUUGGGAGGAAGGGCAGUAAGUUAAUACCUUGCUGUUUUGACGUUACCGACAGAAUAAGCACCGGCUAACUCUGUGCCAGCCGCCGCGGUAAAUACACCGAGUAAUACA